RNAcentral lists this small nuclear RNA (328 nucleotides) under Nannospalax galili (Upper Galilee mountains blind mole rat). RNAcentral's name for it is "7SK RNA (ENSNGAG00000003240.1)". It matches the Rfam family "7SK RNA". Rfam says of the family: 7SK was discovered as an abundant small nuclear RNA in the mid-70s but a possible function has only recently been suggested. Two independent studies have found that 7SK RNA binds the CDK9/cyclin T complex (known as elongation factor P-TEFb). The record is from RNAcentral. Lineage: Eukaryota; Metazoa; Chordata; Mammalia; Rodentia; Spalacidae.
GGUUCUGAGGGUAUUCUAACUACAACAUCUGCUACAUUGGUCACAGAUGAUUUGGCUGAUCUAGCUGGCUACUUGAAUGUCCCCCUCCACCUGAGCCACUCCAUAUGUGUCCCUUCCAGAGCUACACUCUCCAGCACUGCCCUCCCCAAUAGAGGAGGACCAUUCUUUGGUGAAGGGUGUGCAAGUAGCUGUGCUCCCCCCUCAAGACCAGGUCACCAACUCGGAUACCUGAUAUUGGGGCCCUGUUUUGUGUGUGGUUUCAUGUUAGGAUGGAGGGAAUGGAAUGGUGACCUCCAGGCUAAGUAAGGGUCUUAACUUGCUUAUGUUA